This is a long non-coding RNA of Hydractinia symbiolongicarpus, 475 nucleotides long. RefSeq lists it as uncharacterized. The record is from RefSeq and is a predicted model, not a curated record. The transcript is spliced from 2 exons. Lineage: Eukaryota; Metazoa; Cnidaria; Hydrozoa; Anthoathecata; Hydractiniidae.
UAUUCGUGCUGGCUGCCUUAUGAAGUUUCAUAAAACGAAGGCAAACUGGAAGAGUCAUAAUCUUUAAAUUGAUUAGUUAGCUUUCAGGCUGCUGUUCACUGUAUAUUGACCUGAGCAGUAUCAGAAACCAGAGCAAAGCAAAAAACGGAACCCAGCUUGCACACGACGUUGCAUAGACUUCAGUGUAUGGUCGUGGUUUCGACGUCGCAUUUUGCCCUUAAACCACGUCUGUCUGGCGUCGCAAUUUCUGCCGUCAGAUUUCGGUUUUCAACAGACGUCGGCAGAAGUCGCAAUUUCCGACGUCAGAUUUAUACCGCAGCACAACAUUGCGUCGACGUCGCUGCGAUGCAGAUUUAAUAAACUCGAAAGAGACUUUAGAUUAUGGAAUUUAAUCCGAAGUUGUUGUAAUUUUUACUACGUGUAAAUUAUAUGAACACUAAUGUAGUUUUAAUAAACAUAUCUAUAUUUUCUGUGC